GCGCCUCGGCCUGGAAGCGGGCCGCAGACCCUUAGUUUCUCCCACCGCCUGACGACCAUGGACCCCCGAAAAGUGAACGAGCUUCGGGCCUUUGUGAAGAUGUGUAAGCAGGAUCCAAGCGUUCUGCACACAGAAGAAAUGCGCUUCCUGAGGGAAUGGGUGGAGAGUAUGGGGGGUAAAAUACCACCUGCUACUCAGAAAGCUAAAUCAGAAGAAAAUACCAAGGAAGAAAAACCUGAUAGUAAGAAGGUAGAGGAAGAUUUAAAGGCAGACGAACCAUCAAGUGAGGAAAGUGAUCUAGAAAUUGAUAAUGAAGGUGUGAUUGAACCACACACUGACACCCCUCAAGAAAUGGGAGAUGAAAAUGCAGAGAUAACAGAGGAGAUGAUAGAUCAGGCAAAUGAUAAGAAAGUGGCUGCUAUUGAAGCCCUAAAUGAUGAUGAAUUGCAGAAAGCCAUUGACUUAUUCACAGUUGCCAUCAAGCUGAAUCCUCGCUUGGCCAUUUUGUAUGCCAAGAGGGCCAGUGUCUUCGUCAAAUUACAGAAGCCAAAUGCUGCCAUCCGAGACUGUGACAGAGCCAUUGAAAUAAAUCCUGAUUCAGCUCAGCCUUACAAGUGGCGAGGGAAAGCACACAGACUUCUGGACCACUGGGAAGAAGCAGCCCAUGAUCUUGCCCUUGCCUGUAAACUGGAUUAUGAUGAAGAUGCGAGUGCAAUGCUAAAAGAAGUUCAACCUAGGGCACAGAAAAUUGCAGAACAUCGGAGAAAGUAUGAGCGAAAACGUGAAGAGCGAGAGAUCAAAGAAAGAAUAGAAAGAGUUAAGAAGGCUCGAGAAGAGCAUGAGAGAGCCCAGAGGGAGGAAGAAGCCAGACGACAGUCAGGAGCUCAGUAUGGCUCUUUUCCAGGUGGCUUUCCUGGGGGAAUGCCUGGUGGUUUUCCUGGAGGAAUGCCCGGAAUGGGAGGGGGCAUGCCUGGAAUGGCCGGAAUGCCUGGACUCAAUGAAAUUCUUAGUGAUCCAGAGGUUCUUGCAGCCAUGCAGGAUCCAGAAGUUAUGGUGGCCUUCCAGGAUGUGGCUCAGAACCCAGCAAAUAUGUCAAAAUACCAGAGCAACCCAAAGGUUAUGAAUCUUAUCAGCAAAUUGUCAGCCAAAUUUGGAGGUCAAGCAUAAUGCCCUUCUGAUAAAUAAAGCCUUUGCUGAAGGAAAAGCAACCUAAAUCACCUUAUGGAUGUCGCAAUAAUACAAACCAAUGUACCUCUGACCCUCUCAUCAAGAGAGCUGGGGUGCUUUGAAGAUAAUCCCUACUCCUCUCCCCCAAAUGCAGCUGAAGCAUUUUACAGUGGUUUGCCAUUAGGGUAUUCAUUCAGAUAAUGUUUUCCUACUAGGAAUUACAAACUUUAAACACUUUUUAACUUUAAAAAUAUUUAAAACAAAUUUAAAGGGUCUGUUAAUUCUUAUGUUUUUCUUUACUACUCAUUUUGGAUUUUUUUUUCUUUGAAUUAUUGGGCAGGGAAGAUACUGAAUGUAUAGAAGAUUUUUGCUCUAAUUUGAGUGAAAUAAAAGUUUAUUAGUGCGAGGCAAACAUAACUCA
This is an RNA transcript of Sapajus apella (tufted capuchin), 1588 nucleotides long. It is a transcript of the gene named hsc70-interacting protein pseudogene, with no coding region annotated. The transcript has a single exon. The record is from RefSeq and is a predicted model, not a curated record. Lineage: Eukaryota; Metazoa; Chordata; Mammalia; Primates; Cebidae.